RNAcentral lists this long non-coding RNA (277 nucleotides) under Hordeum vulgare. RNAcentral's name for it is "long non-coding RNA (HVUL_LNC009655)". The record is from RNAcentral. Lineage: Eukaryota; Viridiplantae; Streptophyta; Magnoliopsida; Poales; Poaceae.
GCCCAUUGUUUAUCACAUACAUGCAUGAACCUUUUGUUUUAGAAUCAUACGUGCAUGGAUGUUUCCCAGGUAAACCAAGACGCACGGUAGAAUCUGCCCACUGUUUAUCAUGUAUGUAAGCUGUCUCACAGCCAUCGAGCCUCGGCAAGUGCCCGGGGUCGUCGGGCGCUGGCUCCGCCACUGCCUACUUUCAUUGUUCUUUUCUGAGCCGAAUAGCUUAUGCUCUCAGAGUAUCAGGGAAAGAAUAUGUAAUUGUUUCUAUGGUAGUUGGCCUUCA